AUGAUGUCAAAAAAAAAAGAAAAAAAAGAAUGAAAUGCAGCAAAGAGGUUGGAGGAAGCAAAACUGUUUUUCCCUUUUCCCGGAUUUUUCCGGCCGGGAUAUAGUAUAAGGGAUCAGGAAUUGUCUCCCGACUACGUUGCUGCUUUGUCCAAGGAAUUUGGUAAACCCGCCGGCUGAUAAAGAUUCGCCAUAGAAAAACAUCCACGGAAUGGCUAUGUAGCCAAUUCAGUUCCUGUUCUGCAGGAAGCUGCGCAACGCCACCAUUUUGGCAAUCCGUUUGAUUUUCGAAGAAAAUCCGCGGCGUACGCGUCCUGCUGGAUCAUAAAAUGUCAGGGAUCAGAUCUAUACAUUCGCGCUCAACCGGGCAUAGGGAGAAGCAGUCGAAACGCCUAUUUAAAACAACAUCCGGACAUCCGAACCUGGAGCUGAUAUCUAAUAAGCGACAGGCUCCGGUGCCUCGAUUACUGGUUGCGGCUGUGGUUAGUUGUUGCUGCUGGAAGAGCUGUCCCGUAGAAACCAACAAAAAAAAAUUGAAAAAGGUGAAUAUGAAAAUGUUAUGUGAAUAAAAACAGAAUUGAA
Molecule: long non-coding RNA, 579 nt
Organism: Uranotaenia lowii
Lineage: Eukaryota; Metazoa; Arthropoda; Insecta; Diptera; Culicidae
Exons: 3
Source: RefSeq, a predicted model, not a curated record